Molecule: long non-coding RNA, 722 nt
Organism: Rattus norvegicus (Norway rat)
Lineage: Eukaryota; Metazoa; Chordata; Mammalia; Rodentia; Muridae
Source: RefSeq, a predicted model, not a curated record
CCCACAAUCCCUUGCUUUCCCUUGCCCUCUCUAGACUCAACUUUUCUCAGUUGUGUGGUGCUGAUUACACCUGAGGACUCAAGAGGAAACAGGCAGAAGGGCAAGAGACUCUGUUCCUCCGUGUGGGCAGAAUUCCAGGGUACACCCGUUCCGGGGCAUCAGGUCCCUCAAAUGGGGGAGGGCACUGAAGAGAAGAGAGAUGUCGGAACGGGAGGGUCUGUGUUUUCCCGACAGGACUUGCUUCUUGUCCUCCAAACCUCUGUACUGGCCUGAGAGCUGUCACCCAGAGCAGGGAUGGGCAUCUGUGUUCUGUUACAAGCUCCCCAGCAGAGGCUGGGUGUGGGGUGCUGGAGAGAAGGCAAGGAAGUCAAGAGUACACGCAAAGCCUGAGGAACAGAGUUCAGAUCUCAGCACCCGAUUGAAGCUGGGAGUGGUCUCCCCAAACGCCUGAACCCCGAGCCUGAGGAAAGUGGAGACCAGAGGACUGCUGGGGCUUGCUGGCUGUGCCAGCCUAGGGGAUAAAACAUGAACUCCAGUUUCAGUGAGAGACCCUGCCUCAAAGUAACAAGGCAGAGAGCGAUCGAGGAUGCCCAGUGCCCUCCUCUGGCCUUAGGGAAUGUCCCCUUUCAGGUUGUGGGAAGGCUGCACAGAUACCAACUCCUUCAUUAGGUAAACACCUGUUCUCUCCCAUUUCACAGGAUAAAAGACCGAGGUUGGGAGCA